This 253-nucleotide ribosomal RNA is filed under the name uncultured bacterium. RNAcentral's name for it is "partial 16S ribosomal RNA". It matches the Rfam family "Bacterial small subunit ribosomal RNA", at positions 524 to 776 of the family's 1533-position model. The record is from RNAcentral.
UACGGAAGGUGCAAGCGUUAUCCGGAUUUACUGGGUUUAAAGGGUGCGUAGGUGGGUCUGUAAGUCAGUGGUGAAAUCUCCGGGCUUAACCCGGAAACUGCCAUUGAUACUAUAGGUCUUGAAUUAUCUGGAGGUGAGCGGAAUAUGUCAUGUAGCGGUGAAAUGCUUAGAUAUGACAUAGAACACCAAUUGCGAAGGCAGCUCACUACGGAUAUAUUGACACUGAGGCACGAAAGCGUGGGGAUCAAACAGG